Cyprinus carpio (common carp) is the source of this 265-nucleotide long non-coding RNA. NCBI's taxonomy places the organism in Eukaryota, Metazoa, Chordata, Actinopteri, Cypriniformes, Cyprinidae. The record is from Ensembl.
UUCGUAUUGUCUAUGGUGGGCUGGGUGGAAAAAUAGUCAGGCGGAGGAGGAGAAACAUCAAACAGGUGCACUGGAGAACACUGUCUGCCGGAAAUUGCUUUAUAGCCAGCCAAUCAGAAUGGGAUGGCCAAUUUUUGGAUGCUGAGACUAGUUACAACAUACUAAAGAGCUAAAGGAAUCAACAGGGAACGAUCUGAUGACCGUUGGGAAUUUUUUAUUCAGAUAGAACAUGAUGUUGCUUUAGAACAUCAGUCUAUUCAAAGGC